This 543-nucleotide long non-coding RNA is filed under the name Mus musculus (house mouse). RNAcentral's name for it is "predicted gene, 48597". The record is from RNAcentral. Lineage: Eukaryota; Metazoa; Chordata; Mammalia; Rodentia; Muridae.
UUGGAUUUGAGGAGCACAUUUUAUUUUGCAAUGCCAGAAAACUAACAUAAUUUAAAUAAACAAAAAAAAUCACUAUUCAAAACCCAUACAUGGGAGAUUUGUUACUAAAAUGGUAAGGGACAAGGACAACACGGUAAAGGAGCCAUAGAGAGUGACAAGGAAAACAUUGUACCAUUCACAGAAACAAUUUGAAUAUACUUAAUACAUUCGUUUCACAUGAAAUACUUAAGCCUGUAUAUAUUCACAUUCUGGAAGCCAAGAGACAGCUUUAAUUUUCAACUUAUUUUAUGUGCAUGUUUUGCCUGCAAGUAUGUCAGUCUACCAUGUGUGUGUUUGUGCUUUCUGAGGCCAGAAGAGGAGGGACACCAGGUCUCCUCAAACUGGAGUUACAGAUGGUUGUAAGCUGCCAUGAGGAUUCUGGGAAUUGAAUUUGGAUCCUCUGGACAAGUGACCAGUACUCUUAACUGCUAAGGCAUCUUUCUAGCCCUAAAGUCUUUAAUCUUUCAAUGUGUUUUAUUAUUUAAAGUAGGCAAAAGAAAAAAA